This 360-nucleotide long non-coding RNA is filed under the name Cricetulus griseus (Chinese hamster). RNAcentral's name for it is "lncRNA (ENSCGRG00015031493.1)". Lineage: Eukaryota; Metazoa; Chordata; Mammalia; Rodentia; Cricetidae. The record is from RNAcentral.
GUUGAAGAAACUAUCUUCUUCCAGUGUGUUUUUGGUAUAUUUAUCAAGUAUCAGGUCAUGCCAAAGAAGCUGGGAGAGAUCAUAAUAUAACAUCUUCCUAUGAUCUGGAAUAAGAAAAAGUUUUUUGUGUCUUCAUUGCGUUUUUAUUGCUUAUCAAGAAGAGGAGACAUAGAAGAAGGCAUUUCGGAAGAUGUGAUAAGAAAAGACAUUUUUGUUUUCUUUAACUAUGUUCGUAAUUUCUUCCUCUCAUCUAAUCUCUGUAGUCCUUAAUUCCCUCACAUGGAAAUCAGGAGCAAGUCACAUUGGCUUUCUGAACAUAGAAAAUCAAAGAAGCAAGUGUGAUUAUCUGAUUCUCCAGCA